GUCAAGGUAGCUCAGAUGGUUAGAGCGUCGGAUUCAUAACCCGGAGGUCGGGAGUUCAAUUCUCCCCCUUGACACAA
Molecule: transfer RNA, 77 nt
Filed under: Candidatus Magasanikiibacteriota bacterium
Lineage: Bacteria; Candidatus Magasanikiibacteriota
Description: tRNA-Met
Rfam family: tRNA
About the family: Transfer RNA (tRNA) molecules are approximately 80 nucleotides in length. Their secondary structure includes four short double-helical elements and three loops (D, anti-codon, and T loops). Further hydrogen bonds mediate the characteristic L-shaped molecular structure. tRNAs have two regions of fundamental functional importance: the anti-codon, which is responsible for specific mRNA codon recognition, and the 3' end, to which the tRNAs corresponding amino acid is attached (by aminoacyl-tRNA synthetases). tRNAs cope with the degeneracy of the genetic code in two manners: having more than one tRNA (with a specific anti-codon) for a particular amino acid; and 'wobble' base-pairing, i.e. permitting non-standard base-pairing at the 3rd anti-codon position.
Source: RNAcentral